This 138-nucleotide ribosomal RNA is filed under the name uncultured crenarchaeote. RNAcentral's name for it is "partial 16S ribosomal RNA". It matches the Rfam family "Archaeal small subunit ribosomal RNA", at positions 322 to 458 of the family's 1478-position model. Lineage: Archaea; Thermoproteati; Thermoproteota. The record is from RNAcentral.
CCUAUGGGGUGCANCAGGCGAGAAAACUUUGCAAUGUGCGAAAGCACGACAAGGUUAAUCCGAGUGGUUUCUGCUAAAGGAACCUUUUGUNAGUCCUAGAAACGAAUUAGUUGANGAAGGGGNGGGCAAUAANGUGGU